GACGAACGCUGGCGGCGUGCUUAACACAUGCAAGUCGAACGGAAAGGCCCUGCUUUUGUGGGGUGCUCGAGUGGCGAACGGGUGAGUAACACGUGAGUAACCUGCCCUUGACUUUGGGAUAACUUCAGGAAACUGGGGCUAAUACCGGAUAGGAGCUCCUGCUGCAUGGUGGGGGUUGGAAAGUUUCGGCGGUUGGGGAUGGACUCGCGGCUUAUCAGCUUGUUGGUGGGGUAGUGGCUUACCAAGGCUUUGACGGGUAGCCGGCCUGAGAGGGUGACCGGCCACAUUGGGACUGAGAUACCGCCCAGACUCCUACGGGAGGCAGCAGUGGGGAAUAUUGCACAAUGGGCGGAAGCCUGAUGCAGCAACGCCGCGUGCGGGAUGACGGCCUUCGGGUUGUAAACCUCUUUCGCCUGUGACGAAGCGUGAGUGACGGUAAUGGGUAGAGAAGCACCGGCUAACUACGUG
RNAcentral lists this ribosomal RNA (468 nucleotides) under uncultured bacterium. RNAcentral describes it as "partial 16S ribosomal RNA". It matches the Rfam family "Bacterial small subunit ribosomal RNA", at positions 28 to 507 of the family's 1533-position model. The record is from RNAcentral.